AUUGAACGCUGGCGGAAUGCUUAACACAUGCAAGUCGAACGGCAGCACGGUGGCAGCCCUGGUUGCGGGUGGCGAACGGGUGAGUAAUACAUCGGAACGUCCCCGGCCGCGGGGGAUAACGUAGCGACAGAUACGCAAAUACCCCAUACGAUCUGAGGAUGAAAGCGGGGGACCUUCGGGUCUCGCGCGAUCGGAGCGUCCGAUGUCAGAUUAGGUAGUUGGUGGGGUAAAGGCCUACCAAGCCGACGAUCUGUAGCUGGUCUGAGAGGAAGACCAGCCACACUGGGACUGAGACACGGCCCAGACUCCUACGGGAGGCAGCAGUGGGGAAUUUUGGGCAAUGGGCGGAAGCCUGAUCCAGCCAUUCCGCGUGGAGGACGAAGGCCUUCGGGUUGUAAAAUGCUUUUUUACGGAAAGAAAAGGCUCUGGCUAAUACCUGGGGCUCAUGACGGUACCGUAAGAAUAAGCACCGGCUAACUACGUG
RNAcentral lists this ribosomal RNA (484 nucleotides) under uncultured bacterium. RNAcentral describes it as "partial 16S ribosomal RNA". It matches the Rfam family "Bacterial small subunit ribosomal RNA", at positions 30 to 507 of the family's 1533-position model. The record is from RNAcentral.